UGGGGAAUAUUGCACAAUGGAGGGAACUCUGAUGCAGCGACGCCGCGUGAACGAAGAAGGCUUUCGAGUCGUAAAGUUCUUUUAUAUGGGAAGAUAAUGACGGUACCAUAAGAAAAAGCCCCGGCUAACUACGUGCCAGCAGCCGCGGUAAUACGUAGGGGGCGAGCGUUGUCCGGAAUCACUGGGCGUAAAGGGUUCGCAGGCGGAAAUGCAAGUCAGGUGUAAAAGGCAGUAGCUUAACUACUGUAAGCAUUUGAAACUGCAUAUCUUGAGAAGAGUAGAGGUAAGUGGGAUUUUUAGUGUAGCGGUGAAAUGCGUAGAUAUUAAAAAGAAUACCGGUGGCGAAGGCGACUUACUGGGCUCAUGCUGACGCUGAGGAACGAAAGCGUGGGUAGCAAACAGG
RNAcentral lists this ribosomal RNA (403 nucleotides) under bacterium. RNAcentral's name for it is "partial 16S ribosomal RNA". It matches the Rfam family "Bacterial small subunit ribosomal RNA", at positions 355 to 776 of the family's 1533-position model. The record is from RNAcentral.